Molecule: long non-coding RNA, 391 nt
Filed under: Homo sapiens (human)
Lineage: Eukaryota; Metazoa; Chordata; Mammalia; Primates; Hominidae
Description: HSALNT0315122
Source: RNAcentral
AGCCCACGGUCACUUCCAAUCAGAGGGGCAGGUUGCAGGGCCUGGGAAAGGGAGCUUUGUUCAUAGAUUACUGCGCCUAGAGAGAAAAUGAAGAAACCCCUCUUUCUCAAGAGCCUUUUUUAUUUUUUUAUUUUUAUUUUUGAUACGGAGUCUCACUCUGUCGCCCAGGCUGGAGUGCAGUGGCGCGAUCUCGGCUCACUGCAAGCUCCGCCUCCCAGGUUCAGGCCAUUCUCCUGCCUCAGCCUCCCUAGCAGCUGGGACUACAGGCGCCCGCCACCACGCCCGGCUAAUUUUUUGUAUUUUUUACUAGAGACGGGGUUUCACCGUGUUAGCCAGGAUGGUUUCGAUCUCCUGACCUCGUGAUCCGCCCGCCUCGGCCUCCAAAAGUGCU